GAUCAUGGAUCAGAUUGAACGCUGGCGGCAGGCCUAACACAUGCAAGUCGAACGGUAACAGAAAGCAGCUUGCUGCUUUGCUGACGAGUGGCGGACGGGUGAGUAAUGUCUGGGAAACUGCCCGAUGGAGGGGGAUAACUACUGGAAACGGUAGCUAAUACCGCAUAACGUCGCAAGACCAAAGAGGGGGGACCUUCGGGCCGUCUUGCCAUCGGAUGUGCCCAGAUGGGAUUAGCUAGUAGGG
RNAcentral lists this ribosomal RNA (244 nucleotides) under uncultured bacterium. Its description in RNAcentral is "partial 16S ribosomal RNA". It matches the Rfam family "Bacterial small subunit ribosomal RNA", at positions 15 to 253 of the family's 1533-position model. The record is from RNAcentral.